UACGUGGGUGGCAGGCGUUGCCCGGAAUUAUUGGGCGUAAGGCGCGGGCAGGCGGCCUCUUAAGUCUAAUGUGAAAGCCCCGGGCUCAACCGGGGAGGGCCAUUGGAAACUGGGAGGCUUGAGUAUAGGAGAGAAGAGUGGAAUUCCACGUGUAGCGGUGAAAUGCGUAGAGAUGUAGAGGAACACCAGUGGCGAAGGCGACUCUUUGGCCUAUAACUGACGCUGAGGCGCGAAAGCGUGGGGAGCAAACAGG
This 253-nucleotide unclassified non-coding RNA is filed under the name uncultured Caryophanales bacterium. RNAcentral's name for it is "uncultured Bacillales bacterium contains 16S-23S intergenic spacer region". It matches the Rfam family "Bacterial small subunit ribosomal RNA", at positions 524 to 776 of the family's 1533-position model. Lineage: Bacteria; Bacillati; Bacillota; Bacilli; Caryophanales. The record is from RNAcentral.